AUUCAAUGAUGAGGACACUUCCAAAACAACUCUUUAAAGCGCUCCCAAGCAUCAUACAAAGACUCCCUAUAAUUCUGAUGGAAAUUAUUGAUUUCGCUUCUCAAUUU
Humulus lupulus (European hop) is the source of this 107-nucleotide small nucleolar RNA. Lineage: Eukaryota; Viridiplantae; Streptophyta; Magnoliopsida; Rosales; Cannabaceae. The record is from RefSeq and is a predicted model, not a curated record.